Molecule: ribosomal RNA, 393 nt
Filed under: uncultured bacterium
Lineage: Bacteria
Description: partial 16S ribosomal RNA
Rfam family: Bacterial small subunit ribosomal RNA
Source: RNAcentral
AUACGGAGGAUGCGAGCGUUAUCCGGAUUUAUUGGGUUUAAAGGGAGCGUAGGUGGGAUAUUAAGUCAGCUGUGAAAGUUUGGGGCUCAACCUUAAAAUUGCAGUUGAUACUGGUUUCCUUGAGUACGGUACAGGUGGGCGGAAUUCGUGGGGUAGCGGUGAAAUGCUUAGAUAUCACGAAGAACUCCGAUCGCGAAGGCAGCUCACUAGACUGUUACUGACACUGAUGCUCGAAAGUGUGGGUAUCAAACAGGAUUAGAUACCCUGGUAGUCCACACAGUAAACGAUGAAUACUCGCUGUUUGCGAUAUACAGUAAGCGGCCAAGCGAAAGCAUUAAGUAUUCCACCUGGGGAGUACGCCGGCAACGGUGAAACUCAAAGGAAUUGGCGGGG